Molecule: long non-coding RNA, 310 nt
Organism: Olea europaea var. sylvestris
Lineage: Eukaryota; Viridiplantae; Streptophyta; Magnoliopsida; Lamiales; Oleaceae
Exons: 2
Source: RefSeq, a predicted model, not a curated record
UAUUUCCUUUUCACUUUCUGCUAUGGGCUCUUCACCUUCUUCUCAUAAACCAGACAUCACUCAAGAUGGUCGUGUCUUGGAUUAAUAGUUUACAAGCUGAAUGUAAAAGAGAACUUGAUUUGCAGAUACUUUAAUUGAAUGUAUUUUUUAUUUUUAUUUUUUUUAAAAUGAGAAUAUAUAGGCAACCUACAAUUGUUAUAUCUAAAGUGAAAUUCUUUAUGGCUAUGUUCUUCGACAUUGAAUGAUGAUGGGACUAUUAAAGGAACCCUAAUUAUAACUAUUUCAGUACAAUGGUUACAAUUCAUAUGAA